CCUACGGGAGGCUGCAGUGGGGAAUAUUGCACAAUGGGGGAAACCCUGAUGCAGCGACGCCGCGUGAGUGAAGAAGUAUUUCGGUACGUAAAGCUCUAUCAGCAGGGAAGAAAAUGACGGUACCUGACUAAGAAGCCCCGGCUAACUACGUGCCAGCAGCCGCGGUAAUACGUAGGGGGCAAGCGUUAUCCGGAUUUACUGGGUGUAAAGGGAGCGUAGACGGCAGCGCAAGUCUGGAGUGAAAUCCCAUGGCUUAACCAUGGAACUGCUUUGGAAACUGUGCAGCUAGAGUGCAGGAGAGGUAAGCGGAAUUCCUAGUGUAGCGGUGAAAUGCGUAGAGAUUAGGAGGAACACCAGUGGCGAAGGCGGCUUACUGGACUGUAACUGACGUUGAGGCUCGAAAGCGUGGGGAGCAAACAGGAUUAGAUACCCCAGUAGUC
RNAcentral lists this ribosomal RNA (440 nucleotides) under uncultured bacterium. RNAcentral describes it as "partial 16S ribosomal RNA". It matches the Rfam family "Bacterial small subunit ribosomal RNA", at positions 338 to 795 of the family's 1533-position model. The record is from RNAcentral.